GCAAGUCGAGCGCUACCUUCGGGUGGAGCGGCGGACGGGUUAGUAACGCGUGGGGACAUACCCUUCUCUACGGAAUAGCCUCGGGAAACUGAGAGUAAUACCGUAUAAGCCCUUCGGGGGAAAGAUUUAUCGGUGAAGGAUUGGCCCGCGUAAGAUUAGAUAGUUGGUGGGGUAAUGGCCUACCAAGCCUACGAUCUAUAGCUGGUUUGAGAGGAUGAUC
This 220-nucleotide ribosomal RNA is filed under the name uncultured bacterium. Its description in RNAcentral is "partial 16S ribosomal RNA". It matches the Rfam family "Bacterial small subunit ribosomal RNA", at positions 57 to 305 of the family's 1533-position model. The record is from RNAcentral.